Molecule: ribosomal RNA, 117 nt
Filed under: Jaculus jaculus (lesser Egyptian jerboa)
Lineage: Eukaryota; Metazoa; Chordata; Mammalia; Rodentia; Dipodidae
Source: RNAcentral
ACAGCCAUAUCAUCCUGAAUGCGCCCGAAUCUUGUCUGAUCUUAGAAGCUAAGCAGGAAUGGGUCAGGUUGGUACUCGGGUGGGAGACAUCACAGGUGUAAUAUGAUGACAUGUGUU